RNAcentral lists this ribosomal RNA (497 nucleotides) under uncultured bacterium. RNAcentral describes it as "partial 16S ribosomal RNA". It matches the Rfam family "Bacterial small subunit ribosomal RNA", at positions 28 to 507 of the family's 1533-position model. The record is from RNAcentral.
GAUGAACGCUGGCGGCGUGCCUAAUACAUGCAAGUCGAGCGAACAGACGAGGAGCUUGCUCCUCUGACGUUAGCGGCGGACGGGUGAGUAACACGUGUAUAACCUACCUAUAAGACUGGGAUAACUUCGGGAAACCGGAGCUAAUACCGGAUAAUAUAUUGAACCGCAUGGUUCAAUAGUGAAAGACGGUUUUGCUGUCACUUAUAGAUGGAUCCGCGCCGCAUUAGCUAGUUGGUAAGGUAACGGCUUACCACGGCGACGAUGCGUAGCCGACCUGAGAGGGUGAUCGGCCACACGGGAACUGAGACACGGUCCAGACUCCUACGGGAGGCAGCAGUAGGGAAUCGUCCGCAAUGGGCGAAAGCUUGACGGAGCAACGCCGCGUGAGUGAUGAAGGUCUUCGGAUCGUAAAACUCUGUUAUUAGGGAAGAACAAAUGUGUAAGUAACUAUGCACGUCUUGACGGUACCUAAUCAGAAAGCCACGGCUAACUACGUG